GUUAUAUGGUCAAGUGAAGAAGCGCAUACGGUGGAUGCCUUGGCAGUCAGAGGCGAUGAAAGACGUGGUAGCCUGCGAAAAGCUUUGGGGAGUCGGCAAACAGACUGUGAUCCAGAGAUCUCUGAAUGGGGGAACCCAGCCAGCACAAGCUGGUUAUCUUGUACUGAAUACAUAGGUGCAAGAGGCGAACCAGGGGAACUGAAACAUCUAAGUACCCUGAGGAAAAGAAAUCAACCGAGAUUCCCUUAGUAGUGGCGAGCGAACGGGGACCAGCCCUUAAGUUGAUUUGAGAUUAGUGGAACGCUCUGGAAAGUGCGGCCAUAGUGGGUGAUAGCCCCGUACACGAAAAUCUCUU
This 355-nucleotide ribosomal RNA is filed under the name Pseudomonas fulva. RNAcentral describes it as "partial 23S ribosomal RNA". It matches the Rfam family "Bacterial large subunit ribosomal RNA", at positions 1 to 391 of the family's 2925-position model. Lineage: Bacteria; Pseudomonadati; Pseudomonadota; Gammaproteobacteria; Pseudomonadales; Pseudomonadaceae. The record is from RNAcentral.